UCCUACGGGAGGCAGCAGUGGGGAAUAUUGCACAAUGGGGGAAACCCUGAUGCAGCCAUGCCGCGUGUGUGAAGAAGGCCUUCGGGUUGUAAAGCACUUUCAGUAGGGAGGAAGGUAGUGUAGUUAACACCUGCACUAUUUGACGUUACCUACAGAAGAAGCACCGGCUAACUCCGUGCCAGCAGCCGCGGUAAUACGGAGGGUGCGAGCGUUAAUCGGAAUUACUGGGCGUAAAGCGCAUGCAGGCGGCCUGUUAAGUCAGAUGUGAAAGCCCGGGGCUUAACCUCGGAAUUGCAUUUGAAACUGGCAGGCUAGAGUCUUGUAGAGGGGGGUAGAAUUUCAGGUGUAGCGGUGAAAUGCGUAGAGAUCUGAAGGAAUACCAGUGGCGAAGGCGGCCCCCUGGACAAAGACUGACGCUCAGAUGCGAAAGCGUGGGGAGCAUACAGGAUUAGAUACCCUGGUAGUCCACGCCGUAAACGAUGUCUACUUGGAGGUUGUGGCCUUGAGCCGUGGCUUUCGGAGCUAACGCGUUAAGUAGACCGCCUGGGGAGUACGGUCGCAAGAUUAAAACUCAAAGGAAUUGACGGA
RNAcentral lists this ribosomal RNA (588 nucleotides) under uncultured bacterium. RNAcentral describes it as "bacterial SSU rRNA". It matches the Rfam family "Bacterial small subunit ribosomal RNA", at positions 337 to 917 of the family's 1533-position model. The record is from RNAcentral.